UUUAACGCGAAGAACCUUACCAGGGCUUGACAUCCAUCGAAUCCGGCUGAAAGGCGGGAGUGCCCUUCGGGGAGCGAUGAGACAGGUGGUGCAUGGUUGUCGUCAGCUCGUGUCGUGAGAUGUUGGGUUAAGUCCCGCAACGAGCGCAACCCCUAUGGUAUGUUGCCAGCACGUGAAGGUGGGCAUUCAUGCCAGACUGCCGGUGACAAACCGGAGGAAGGUGGGGAUGACGUCAAAUCAGCAUGCCCUUGAUGUCGUGGGCGACACACGUGUUACAAUGGCCGACACAGCGGGAACCGAAGUGGCGACACGGAGGGAACCGCGAAAGGCGGUCGUAGUUCAGAUCGCAGGCUGCAACUCGCCUGCGUGAAGCCGGAGUUAUAGUAUUAUUUUUUUUUUUAAGAACCCGGGACCC
Molecule: ribosomal RNA, 415 nt
Filed under: uncultured bacterium
Lineage: Bacteria
Description: bacterial SSU rRNA
Rfam family: Bacterial small subunit ribosomal RNA
Source: RNAcentral